CUACGGGUCGCACCAGUGGGGAAUAUUGCACAAUGGGGGGAACCCUGAUGCAGCAACGCCGCGUGGAGGAUGACACAUUUCGGUGCGUAAACUCCUUUUAUAUAAGAAGAUAAUGACGGUAUUAUAUGAAUAAGCACCGGCUAACUCCGUGCCAGCAGCCGCGGUAAUACGGGGGGUGCAAGCGUUACUCGGAAUCACUGGGCGUAAAGAGCAUGUAGGCUGGUUUGUAAGUUGGAAGUGAAAUCCUAUGGCUUAACCAUAGAACUGCUUCCAAAACUACUUACCUAGAGUAUGGGAGAGGUAGAUGGAAUUUCUGAUGUAGGGGUAAAAUCCGUAGAGAUCAGAAGGAAUACCGAUUGCGAAGGCGAUCUACUGGAACAUUACUGACGCUCAGAUGCGAAAGCGUGGGGAGCAAACAGGAUUAAAUACCCCUGUAGUC
RNAcentral lists this ribosomal RNA (439 nucleotides) under uncultured bacterium. RNAcentral describes it as "partial 16S ribosomal RNA". It matches the Rfam family "Bacterial small subunit ribosomal RNA", at positions 339 to 795 of the family's 1533-position model. The record is from RNAcentral.